CGCGUCCCAUUAGCUAGUUGGUGAGGUAAUGGCUCACCAAGUCCGCGAUCGGUAGCCGAACUGAGAGGUUGAUCGGCCACAUUGGCACUGAGACACGGCCCAGACUCCUACGGGAGGCAGCAGUGGGGAAUAUUGGGCAAUGGGCGAAAGCCUGACCCAGCAACGCCGCGUGAAGGAAGAAGGUCUUCGGAUUGUAAACUUCUUUGAUCAGGGACGAAAAAAAUGACGGUACCUGA
Molecule: ribosomal RNA, 236 nt
Filed under: uncultured Clostridium sp.
Lineage: Bacteria; Bacillati; Bacillota; Clostridia; Eubacteriales; Clostridiaceae
Description: partial 16S ribosomal RNA
Rfam family: Bacterial small subunit ribosomal RNA
Source: RNAcentral